Macaca mulatta (Rhesus monkey) is the source of this 6174-nucleotide non-coding RNA. The record is from RefSeq and is a predicted model, not a curated record. NCBI's taxonomy places the organism in Eukaryota, Metazoa, Chordata, Mammalia, Primates, Cercopithecidae.
CACUUUAAAUGACUCAGGAAGUAAAAGGAGGCCUCCUGACGGGGAAAGGGAAAGUGGAACCGGGGCGGCGCGGGGGACAGCGGCAGCAGCAAUCUCGCCCGAGUAGCGGGAGGCUGAGCGGGCGGCGCCACGCGGGGGCCGACGGGGGCGCCGGGUGCCCGCGCCGGAAGUGCCCUGCGCGGCAGAGGAAGCUCAGGGACAGAGCGGAGCAGGCCGAGCCAGCGGAAGGCUCUUUGCUGCUCCGCCCGGGCAGGGGCUGCCCCGGCCCCAGGUCCCGCUUCCAGACGCGGCGCGGUCCAGGCGGGCGGCGACUCCCGAGGAAGGGACCCGGGGCGGGAGAAGGAAGUGAGGAGGCCGCGCAGACGGAGGGCGGGGAGCCCUGAGGCCCCGAGGCCUUACCGCGUCACAGCAACCACAUGGCCUCCGGAGUGGGCGCGGCCUUCGAGGAGCUGCCUCACGACGGCACGUGUGACGAGUGCGAGCCCGACGAGGCUCCGGGGGCCGAGGAAGUGUGCCGAGAAUGCGGCUUCUGCUACUGCCGUCGCCACGCUGAGGCGCACAGGCAGAAGUUCCUCAGUCACCACCUGGCCGAAUACGUCCACGGCGCCCAGGCCUGGACCCCGCCAGCUGACGGAGAGGGGGCGGGGAAGGAAGAAGCGGAGGUCAAGGUGGAGCAGGAGAGGGAGAUAGAAAGCGAGGCAGGGGAAGAAAGUGAGUCGGAGGAAGAGAGCGAGUCAGAGGAAGAGAGUGAGACAGAGGAAGAGAGUGAGGAUGAGAGCGAUGAGGAGAGUGAAGAAGACAGCGAGGAAGAAAUGGAGGAUGAGCAAGAAAGCGAGGCCGAAGAAGACAACCAAGAAGAAGGGGAAUCCGAGGCGGAGGGAGAAACUGAGGCAGAAAGUGAAUUUGACCCAGAAAUAGAAAUGGAAGCAGAGAGAGUGGCCAAGAGGAAGUGUCCGGACCAUGGGCUCGAUUUGAGCACCUAUUGCCAGGAAGAUAGGCAGCUCAUCUGUGUCCUGUGUCCAGUCAUUGGGGCUCAUCAGGGCCACCAACUCUCCACCCUAGACGAAGCCUUUGAAGAAUUAAGAAGCAAAGACUCAGGUGGACUGAAGGCGGCUAUGAUCGAAUUGGUGGAAAGGUUGAAGUUCAAGAGCUCAGACCCUAAAGUAACUCGGGACCAAAUGAAGAUGUUUAUACAGCAGGAAUUUAAGAAAGUUCAGAAAGUGAUUGCCGAUGAGGAGCAGAAGGCCCUUCAUCUAGUGGACAUCCAGGAGGCAAUGGCCACAGCUCAUGUGACUGAGAUACUGGCAGACAUCCAAUCCCACAUGGAUAGGUUGAUGACCCAGAUGGCCCAAGCCAAGGAACAACUUGAUACCUCUAAUGAAUCAGCUGAGCCAAAGGCAGAGGGCGAUGAGGAAGGACCCAGAUUUCUAUGGAAGGAAACUGCUUGAGAGAGAUUUGGUUUCCAUUAUACACAUGCCAAGAGAAGAUGAGGAAACUGGGUCAGGUGGAUUUCCUGAAGUGGUGCCAGUGAAGAAGAGGACACAUGAAGGCUUGCUACCCCCAGUGGAAAAUCAUCCCCUCCCCUUGUGUGUAUGUGACAGUGUGUAUGUAACGGCUUCUGAUUUCUGUGAAAGCUGCUCAGCAACAAACGUACUUCCACCAGAUGUGUCCCCAGAUCCACAGCAGGCACAUAUCUCUCCAAGGGAUGACCAGUUUUAUGCUUACUGACUGUGUGCUUCUCAUCCUCUGGUUGUGGUAGGUCAAGGAAAAGAGCCCAUUUGAUCCACCAGGAGCAAUUAAGAAGGGUCCUUCAGGUAAUCCCUCAGUGGCUGCUUUGAACUUACUCAGGAAAGUCAGCCCCCAUAAUAUUGUGUUACCAAACAGUAUGGCUUUGUUAGGAAGGAUCUGGAAUAAUCUUGAAGGGAAGUCAGAGUUUUCUCCCUGCCUAUUAACAGAAACCCAAUUUUGUUCAUAUUGAAGCAUGAAAUAAAUGAGAGCAAGGUAGGGCCACAUUGACUCAUGUGGGCAGUCCCUAAAAGUCCAGUUCUGCAUUUGUGAAAAUGUGGUGCCAUGAAUUAAGGUGGAUGAGUGGAAAAAGGUGUUAAAGAGUUAAAGAUUAGGAAGAGAUAUUUUUAGUAUAUGAAGUUAUCCAGGACUUGAGAUUCAUAAUUCAGUGCUGUGGAAAUGAAAAAAAAUGAUUGAAGAGGUGGAACGGAAAUGACCUUAGGGGGAAAAAAAAGGACCAAAGAAAUCUGAUUAAAAGUUGAAAUCAGUAAUUCUGAAUUCAAAUUGCUUGAAUUUCCAAAAUAGUCAGUAAAGGAUCUAAUAGAACCACAAUUAUUUGGGUGAAUUCUGCAGGUUUUAUGGGCUUGUCACAACAUGAAGGGCUGGAAUGUAUAUUACCAAACGGGAAUUUUCAUUGUAGGUUUUUGCUAGUCCUACCCCCAUUUUAGCUUAAUUUGUCUUAAAUGCAAUAUGGGGAGAAUUGAUGCCACUCCAUGUGUUCUGAAUUCAGCUCAUCUCCCAGCAUAUAGAUAUAACCUCCUUUACCUCAGACCAGAACCCUUCUUCCUGUGGCACUCCCCACCCACAGACCUUCAGAUCAUCUCCCACACCCUGGAUCUCGCUCUCCUCUUAGUGACAGAGACAUGCCUGAGGUUGGACUUGCUUUUCUCUACUUCCAAAUCACAAUUUCUUACAACCAAGCUUUGUACUCCCGAGUAAGCAGGGAUGUGCUAGGGGAAUGUAAAACUGCAAACUUAAAAACCUGCAUCUUCUUGAAGCAUCAGUUUUACUUACCAAAUGGUUUGGAGUCAGGAGAUGACCUAUUUUUAUAUAAAAGUUAUAUUAUAGAAUAAAAUGUUCAUACACAUAGACUGUUAAGAUAAAAAAUAGGAAUCUUGAAAGGUAAUUAUUUGCAAGUGGGUUAUAUGUUCACUCUCCUCUGCCUUUAUGGUAUUUUGGUGUUCACUUAUGAAGAAUACAACUGGAACCAUAUCCAAGCAGACUCUGGGUUGCUGCUAACCCAGGGGCUAGACUUCUAGUGCCUCUGAGGCAGAACUAAAGGAGCCUGCACCGGGGGAAAUCCCUUUUCCUGCCUGCCUAUGACCUGUGUACCUAUUAUAGGGCCAGCUGAUUAUUGUGCUUGCAGGAUGGUUUUGAAACAGAAACAAUACUUGUUUACUAUAAGAGUCCUAUUUAUAUUAUUUUUCAGUCCUGUGAAUGCUGUGAAAUGAUUUAUUCCUUUGAGGCCAGGAAGCUCCCAGGCAUAUAUGCUUCUAGGUUAGGAUUGUCCUAACUCACUAAAGAUGCCAGGAUAUUGGGGCUGAGAGGAGUUUGAGAUGUUAAAAAAAAAAAAGCAUUUUUCUGUCAAACUGGUGGCCAAGAAAUGGCUAAGACAAUUUUGGUGCUUUAGCUGUCUCUGCAAAGACUGGAGAAUUUGGCAUACCAUUAAUUACAACCUCCAAUCAUAUCCAACAAAACUACCCUAAAAGAAGGACCAGUGGCCACUCUUGAAAAAGUUUAAGUAUCAGAAGAUUAAAAAGAUUUUAGGAUUUGGAAGCUUGUAUUGUCUUUCCCCAAUAAUCAUUGUUUGAUCUCCAAAUAGUAGCCUUAUAUUAGCAAUGGACAGAUCAUUGGUUCUCCAUAUCUGAUCAUAUGUUAUUACUUUGAAUCAGUAUUUGGGAAAUUCAAGUAUUUAUGCAGUGGAUAUAAAUAGAAAUAUAAAAAUGUGUGCCAAUCUGUCUCAGUAACUUAUCUCUGAUCCUCAAGGAAAGCACUUUUGCUGUUACUUAGAAAGGGUUUCAGAGUUGCUUUACAGACUCCUGCUGUCUUCAGCACCUGAUAAAACUUUAACCAGGGAAGCAUUAAACACAGUGCAGCAGCUUUUGCCCAGGCUCCUAAGUUCCUGCCGGCAGCAUUUAUCAAUGUAAGAAACUAGGAUGCUUCCUGCAGUGGCACCACCUUCCCAUAGAGCUGGAGCAUGCUGCUUGGCCUUAAGCCCCAGCAUGAUGAGGCUUCCCUCCUGCCACGUCAGUAAAACUUAGAAAGCUCAGAAUUGUGUCUUGCCUGGCUGCAGGUUGCAGGGUUUGCUGAAACCCCUAAAGAGAAGUCACCAAGGGAGGCAGGUAAUGAAUGUUUCCAGAAUCAGUCAGAUACUCAUAGCAAUUUCUGGCUACCUUUCAAAUGUUGAAUUUCUGGAUGCCGAGAGGGACUUUGAUUUGAUAUCAUUAAAUCCAGGACAGUCCCAAGAAGUGCUUGGAGUCUCCGCUCUGACAGCCCAAGAAGGGAAAUAACUUGUAUUAAGGCACAACUAUGAGCCAGGCCCUGAACUGUCUCUUAGAUAAUAAAACAGAUGGGGAAUGGAAGUCAUUUGCUUCAAGUUACACAGCUAGGAAAUACUCAAGCCAAAUCUUGAACCCAGCUCCCCCUAAUUCUGUGGACAAGCACUUUGUACCACACACUGUGGUCCACCUAAAAACAGAAGGAUAAAAAGGCUUCAGGUUUUCCCACUGUGCGCUGACCAUCCCAAUUUAUGAAUCUUUUUCAAAAUGACAGUUAUAGUUAGGGCUCAGAAAUGGCAUUGAGGUAGCCUUAUUUCUCCCCUUUAGCCGAUGCUUUAAGUACACAUUGCUGACUUGAGCCCACCCCCAGGAGUUGGGAGAACAUUUCCCUUUUCAUGCCGUCUUCCAUAAAUAAAGUGUUUCUUGGCCUUCAAAGGUAUAGAACUUUGCAGCAGUAGUAAAAGUGAAGGGUGUUCUGCUUUCUACUCAACUUUAUUUGCAACUCUCUGCAGCUUCACUGCUGUAGAAAAGGAAAUCUUCAUAUUUUAGUAAACUUAGCGGCCAGUGUGCUCUGUGAGGAUGUGGCAAUUCAAAGUCCAGUGAAUCUGGACUCUCCUACUGAUUCCUGGUUUGCGUGUGUUGGGUUAGUGUGUACCUAUAUAUAAAUGACAAGUGUGAUAUGUGUGUAUAUGUAUAUACGUACAUGUCCACACACACACACAAUAUUUGAGAACAAAGGAAAACUCAAAGCAGCCCCUUCAUUAUCUUGCAUACUACUUCAAAGAUUUCUGUCAGCCCUAAUUACAAGUGUCACCAUAUAGUUGGGGCUUAGGUACUUGCUUACUUGCUUACAAGAAGAGCAAUUCCCUAGCAAAAGUUGUUAGCUCCUAAGGCACUGAGUCAAAGUGACAGCCCUGAAGGAAAUUGCACUCCAGCCCUCCUCCAAGAUGUCUAAUAACAUGGGAAACUUGGAUGCCCAGCCAUUUUGGUGACCUGAGAGUCUAACUACUCCAGUUAGACCUGAGGGCACAAAUGCAGAAUUCAUGACCUUGUAGUAGUGGCAGGGUCUAGGAAGUCCUCUCUCCCCAAGUAGAAAAUGCUCCCUUGCCAUUCUUGAAAUUCCACAUUCAUUAUAUGUAUUGGCUGUUCCAUACAUGCUUCUCAAUAAGAAAAUUAACUGCAUGUUUACUGUGUGCUGAUCACAUCAGAUUUUUAUGUUUAAAAAAAUCUCAUUAUGGACUGAGUCCAGCCCAGCCCUAGGAGAAAAAGAAGGCCCAUAGGGGAGACUUCAAUCUCAUUAUUAUUGCCUUUAUCCAACAGGGCUUAUGAAACCCCCUACCCUGUCCCAUUCCAGAAACCAUAAGACUCAGGCAGUUCUUGAAUCUGGAGGCCUGCCUGGUAAGAUAAGAUAGUAUCAUUUGGAACUGAGAACAUACCAGAAACAGCAGAACAAGGUCCAGAGCAGAAAAAUGAAAAUAAGUGAAGACACUUAUGGAUACAUUGGUGCAGAAAAAGCCACGGAGCCCAUACUAGGCUUGAUAUGACUUUGAGGGGACAGCAGAUUAAUACUCAAUGAGGAUUAAACCUGACCGGUCUUUCUACAGUGACAGGCCACACUGCAUGAAUGGGGAGAACCAAUGAAUCCAUUGUCCUCUGCCUAUUUUCCUGUGCACAGUCACAUUCCUUCCUUAGGAAUCUUCCCCUUCCACCCUUUACAUUAAACAAGGGAACACUGAAUCUUUCAACAGAAUUACACGUUUGAGUUAAUGUUUCAGUAUAUCAUUUUCAUACUGUAAAUUAUUUUGUAAGAGAGAUUUACUGCUAUCCCAGGAUGUUCGGACUUGGCGCCCCUGUGCAUUUGGAAAUCAAUAAACUAUUACUGGAAAUGCCA